Molecule: long non-coding RNA, 8756 nt
Filed under: Sus scrofa (pig)
Lineage: Eukaryota; Metazoa; Chordata; Mammalia; Artiodactyla; Suidae
Description: lncRNA (ENSSSCG00040000641.1)
Source: RNAcentral
UAACCUUCUUUCUCUACUGUUCUUCAUAUAUACAUAACUAAGUGCCUGGAAAUGAACAAAAAAUGUUGGAAAUUCACAUACAUGGCCAAAAAUAAUGGAAGAAAACACAGAUAUUUAAUAGAUUAACUUUUAUCUUCAAUAGAUUUUCUUGGGUGAGUGUAAGAGGCAGUAAAUACUUACAAUCAUCUUUUUCACAGAAUGUAUUUAAUGUAAUUACAAUAUCUAAAGAAAUAAAGUGAGAUAUUUGAGGGGCCUAAUUUACCUUCUUGACUUUAAUGGAAAUAGGAAAUGAAUGGGUUUUUUUAUUGUUUUAUUUUGGAAUAAUUCAUACUGACAAGUGUAUGCAUUUGUAAGCACUGUCUAGGUGAUUUGUAUAUGUUCCUGUUAACCAGGUUAACAAGUAGAAUAUAACCAGUGCCUUAGACACACUUACUUAGGCUUUUCCUAAUUACGUCUCUCUCCCACUCCCAGAGGCAACUAGCAAGCUACCAUCAAUGAUUUUUUGCCUUUCUUUCUAAUAUAUGUUCAAUGUAGUCAUACCUACAAAAUGCACUGUUUUGUGGUGAAAGGCUGAGUAUCAAUCGCAAGUUUAGCUUUGUAAGGAAAGGACGAAUAACUACACCUAAGAGAAUAAACUAAAGAAAGUGUAUGGAUCACAGUCUGACUUGAGAUUUCCCUGAGAAUUUAUUUUUUUCAUACUUUUUCCUUUUUAAUUAUUAAUAUUUUUUAAUAGUUAUUUCCCUGAUACAAUUUUUUUCUACUGUACAGCAUGGUGACCCUGUUACACUUACAUGUACACAUUCUAUUUUCACACAUUAUCAUGCUCCAUCAUAAGUGACUAGGCAUCGUUCCCAGUGCUACACAGCAGGAUCUCAUUGCUAAUCCAUUCCAAGGGCAAUAGUUUAUAUCUAUUAACCCUAAGCUCCCAGUCCACCCCACUCCCUCCCCCUCCCCCUAGGCAGCCAUAAGUCUAUUCUGCAAGUACAUGAUUUUCUUUUCUGUGGAAAAGUUCAUUUGUGCCUUAUAUUAGAUUCCAGAUAUGAGUGAUAUCAUAUGGUAUUUGUCUUUCUCUUUCUGACUUACUUCACUCAGUAUGAGAGUCUCUAGUUCCAUCCAUGUUGCUGCAAAUGGCAUUAACUUGUUCUUUUUUAUGGCUGAGUAGUAUUCCAUUGUGUAUAAUUUGUAAAAGCCCCUCCCUUCUGGGAAACUUCAUGGUCAAUGUUAUAGAGGAGUCUGGUGAAAAGUAUGCCUCGGCACCAUGGAAACAUUUAUUAGGGCUGUAGUGCCAGCAAAACCGCUGUACAUCCAAUCCUAACAAGCUCAGGCAGGGGAGGCUUCUCUGUCUGUUUCGCCUCUCAGUUUACCUUGGCACACACAAAAUCUUAGGAGGAGGGCAUCAUAGAAUGCUUUCUUGGAUUAAAGAAAUAUUUUCAGUUGAUCCAGGUUUUGGGGGGAUUGAAGGACACAACCUUUAUUGCCACAUUGUCCAGACUAAUGCUCUCAGUUUAAAGAUGGCACAAGGACUGGGGGUGUCUUGUUAUGACAGCCCCCAACAUAACUUUCUUGAACAUAAUUUGCAUCCUAAAUUUAUUAUCCUCCUCCCUCCGUAUUGGUUUUUUCCCUCUCAAUUUAUCCUUUUUCUCUUUCAGGAAAUGUUCUUAUUCAGAUGUUGGAUAGCUAGAUAAGCCCUAUAUUUUCUUAAACUUUCUGUACGAUUUAAAAAAAAAGCUCUUUGCAUUUUGCUCUACUCUCUGAGACACUUCCUAAAAUUUUACUAACACCUCCUUCCAUUUUUUGCUUUUUGGGUGUUCAUUCAAGUUGGCCAAAUGAGUUUCCAAAAACAUAUUUUCUUCUUUUUUAAAAAAAUAAAAUUCCAUUUUUAAUUUCAUUGACAUGUAUUUCUGCUCACUUUUCCGUGGAUAUUGAAUCCUGGAAGGAUAAAGUUCUGUUGGCUUUUUCUGGGAGCUCACUGGGAACAGAGGACCAGAAGCCCCAGAAUUCAGUACAGCAUCAUGGUCAAGCUCUUCUCACCACCCAGUGCACCAGCACAGGCGGGGGAAGCGCCCUCUGCUGGAGUGUGUAUGGGCCAGGGCGUCUAGGCCCCUAACUCCUUUCAAUCAUUUUCCAAACAUUUAUAUUUGUCGUAGACCCAACUUUACUUCCAUUUUUGGAUGAUUCUGAAACUGGUAUUUCCUCGGACUUUGAGGAUCCUCUGAUCAAUUUGGUCUGGUUUUCAUUUUUAUUGAAUUUGAGCUUUGGAUAUAGCUUUCUUAGAUCUAUUAAAUAAAGUACAUUAAUCCUGCAUUCUUCUUUCCAGAAUUGUAUUAUUGUUGUCUGUUCUUCUGUUAUCCUCCUCCUUUUAUGUUUUAUCUUUAAAAACAUUUUAUUUAUUGUAAUUUUACAAUGAGGAUUUAAAUCAGAUGCCCAUGUUUAAAAUCCUAAUCUGGAAAAACUGUAAGUGCCUCCAUUUAAAAAACUGUAUUCAAUGUCUUGUAAAAACCUAUAAUGGAAAAGAAUCUGAAAGAAUAUAUAUAUCUGUCUCUAUAUAAUAUAUAUAACUGAGUAACUUUGCUGUACACCUGAAACUAACAUAAAUCAACUGUAUUAAUAUGAAUCAACUAUAUUUCAACAACAAAAAUAUGUAGAAAUGAAGAAUUUCUAAUCUGUUUUUCUCUGUGAAGUGUAUUUUCAUGGUUGAUAUAGAUAAGAUAGAUAUUAAUGUACUCUAUUGACUUUUUUUUUAAAUUCAAGAAAAGCUGAACAGAUUCUAAACAUAUGCUGCUUAUGAGCAGAUUCUUAGUAAGAACCGUGCUUCUCUCUUUUUGUAAUGCCUUUAAGAGCCUAAUAAAUAUUAUGCCAGACUUUGCUUACCAGGUCAUUAGUUUCUUCACAAGGCUGUCAAUUCCUACUAGUAGAAUUAUUUCAAGAAUGAAAUACUCGAUUCCUACAAGGCCAUAAAAGGACCACUGGUCAAGAAAAAAGAAAAUAGCAGGUUUUCCUCACAUUAACAACAUCAUGAUAUUAAAUUUUGCUGGCCUUCAGUAUUCUCAAAUUUGGAGCAAUGUAACUCUGGACACUACCUCUAAUACCCUCAAUGACGGAGAAAUCCGAGGGCAUUUUUCUGCAGUUUGAGGACAGCUAAUGUGCUGAAAAACUGUUGCGAGAAAUCAAGAUAAUGUAAUCAUAACAGUAGUAUAAUAAUAAUGAUAAUGAUAGUGAUAACCAUACUUUCAACACAAGAUGGAAAUCACGAUCCUAUGAGAAAUUUAAAGUGACUGAGAUUUUCAAUCUACUUGCAGACGAAGAAGUUAGCCUGCCGCCGUUACGUGGAUGUUGGCAGGAAAAAAAAAAAAAUUCCUGGGGUAGAAACAAAGGAUUUUAUUACUAACAGCAACAGAAGUAGCCAGAGUAAUAGAGUUUUCUUGUACACGUUUGUCAAACUUAAUUCUCACGAUGCAGCAUGGAAAGGGCAGUUAACACCUGCAUGUGCAAUGGUUUAUAUUACAGGAGAGGAAUCCUGACCCCAGAUAUUUUUUCAAAUGACAUCAUAAAAGACGUGACCUUUUUUUUCCCAAAAGGAAUUAUUACUGUUAUUAAACCGGGCAAUAAGCAUACCUGUCCUUUGCACCAGAGGGGGACAGUACAUCCCUAGAGCUAUAAACAGACCUCUCCUUUGCUCUCAAGUGAGGCAUUAUUUCUUCCUUCCGAGAUGCUUUGCUAUACAAAUAUUCUUGAAAUGGGAAACAGAGCAGUGGCUUGCCUUGCUCACAAGAACUGCAGAAAUGUGAGAGAGACCGAUGGAGAAUUUUCUGCCAACAUGUCUUAACUUACUUUGCAAGGGCUAAUUCCAUUCUCUCCUCUCAGUCUUGCUCUAUCUUGCCCUCCUCUCCCUCUCUCUCUCUCCUAUUUCAGUCUAUCUCUACUUUUCUCUCUCUCUUUGCUGGACUUAACUUUAAGUCUUCAAAUUUUCUUAAACACAUGUACAAGGAAAGUUUCUGUUAUAUAUUUUUAUACUACAUUAGCAUAUUACUAUGGAAUCAGGAGAGAAUGAUUUUAUGAAAGAAUGAAUUUAGAUGUCACUUUAUAUUUUUAAAGCUCAUAAUCCCUUUUGGGUUAGUAUAUUUUUUUGCAUAUUCUGGAAUUUAUUGGGUAAAGAAGAUUAAUGGUAUCUUCCUGUGCUCCUCUGUACAUUACAAUUUAGAAUUACUUUCUAAAGCUAUUAUAUGAAAAUUAAUCACGUCAUAACAAGACAUACUGUAUUCAUUGCAUCAACAGAGCAAUAUUUCUGAUAUAAUACAGAAGAUCUUAUUUCAUCAAAUUCCUGUGCUCAUAACAAAUUUUGAUGACAUAAUUUUGUUCUUCAAGGUAAAUAUUUUGGAAAAGCAGGUUGAAAAAUAUCUACAUUACAAAAAGUUAUUUUUAAGCAAUGAUUUUUAAGAUUUCUCUUCAAACUCAGCACCUCAUCAAAGUAAUAUUUCUUCCGAUUGUCACUAUUUCUACCUAAUUUACCUUGAACAUCCACACACUAAUCUUAUAGUGAAAAUGUCAAAACUGACAAAAAUGUAUGACAAAAUUAAUAUUAGCCAAAUUUACUCUUGAAAGUCAUUGUGUCUCCAACCCUUCAUCUCUGCAAAACUUCUGCAUUUAAUAUGCUUUUAGCUCAUCUAUGCCUAGUGAAAUCCUACAGAUAUUUCAAGAUGCAGUUUGAAUGCCUCCCCCAGGAGGAAUUGCCUAUUUCAUUCUGUUAGAAUUAAUCACUUUUUCCUAUUUUUUCCAUCACAGAACACGGCUGACAUCUCUUAGGUCACAUCCACACUUUGCUCUAUCACUUUUCUACUUUUAUUUUCUUCUCUACCAAAAUCACCCGUGGGAACCCUAAGAUUGGUGUGGCAUAGGAAACUGUGUAAAAACAUGGGACUGCUCUUCCCAAUAGGAUCACUGGCUUGGCCAAUAAAUUGGUAUCUAUUGUAAAAUGGACAUUGAUGAUCAUAAUAAGAGUGGCAUGAUUGUUAUUUGAGAACAAUGCUUAGGGAGAAUUUCCCUAUGUUAUUUCUUCCAGGUAGUUACAGUCUGGUUGGGAGAUAAAAAUAUAUAGAAGCAUUGAAUAAAAUAAAUACCAGAAGGGCAAAAAUACUGAUAUAAAGAAAGAGAAUAAAAUAAUCAUUGCCUUCCACAAAGUUAAAUUUUAAAAAAUUGUUUUAUGUUAAUAAAAAUGUUUGAGAAAUUAAAAAAUGCUACACUUUCAUUUUUAUGAAGGUCUGAUUAAUAUUUCGUAAAAGAUUGUUAAUUUAUGCUAAUAUCCUGUUCUUCAUCUAACAUCUUUCCAACAUCCUUAGAAUCCAGUGAUGACUUCCAUAUUUAUCCGUUACCAGCAAAUGUAAUGAUACAGUUGCCAUCAUAUUGUUUCUACUUGUAUCAGUUGGUUUUCCUGAAAAGCUUCUGUUUAGGAGCUUUUCUCUCUCAAACACACACACACAAACACACACACUUAUACACAUAUCUUUAGUUUUAUGUAGCCCUACUUUAUUCAGUGGGUUGUUGUCUGAUACCAUCAUUAUUUUUUUGGUGCUGAAAUUGUCCUCAAAUUAGUCAGUAGGAGGCCCUUCAAGCCCAUUUUUGUCUUCUUUUCACAGCAAUUCUUAGAACACAGCUACCAUGAUAACAAAAAUUGGCUAUACAUACACAUAUACACGCACAUAUUUUUAUUUCCAUGCGUGUAUGUAUAAAUAAAAUUCAUGAGUUCAUACUAAUCUUUCCAAUACUUCCAAUUUCAUUCCAAUAAUUUGUAUUCUUUUCAUCUAUUUGCCUUUCCAUAAUAAUGAAUCCCUCCAUAGUCACCAGGAAGCUUGACUUCCACAAUUGCCAAUGUACUUACUUCUUUACCCAAUAGCUCUCAGUUCACAACCAUUUUGGCCCUCUCCUUUGCUCUCUCCAUCACAGGCCCCAUCUGUGCCUGAUUCCUGAGCCUGCUUUGAUGGCUACAGGGCAUUGCCUCUAAAACCUCCACAGCACACCUUCCUUCUUAGCAUUCAAAUUUCUCAGGCCCUGUGACAUUGUGCUGAGACUUUUAAGUGAUUAAUAAGCUGGUCCAAUGUUCUGUUGUUUCAAGUAGAACUGCUGAGAUCUGGAAAGAUCUGGAAGUAUCUCUUGGACUCAGAGAGACUGCUUCAGUGCAACAUUGUAUGGCAGUUUGUUUCAGUUCAAUAAACAUUUAUCAAAAAAAUAAAGCCCUCUGCUGGACUUUCAGGCUGAUAUCAUCUCAACUGUCACCCCCAAGAGUGCAAGAGAAGGUGGGAAGGGAAGAGAGAAUGUUAAAAAAAAGAAGGAAAAGGAAGAUAGAAAGAUAAGGAAACAUAGGGGACAUUUAUGACGUAUUUAUAGCUAGAAGAACACCUUGACAAUGUCUUAAAGAAAGCAAAUAUAUUUACCUGUCAGUUUUGAAGAUACAGAUAUAUAUGAAAAUAUAAAUAUUUCAUAUAUAACAUAUAUAUGAAAAUGCAGAAGCAAUAAAAAGAGGUAGGAUGUGCAUUAAAGUCUGAAAAAUCAUAGAACACAUGUAAUUGUACUGCGUAUGCUUUUUUAAAGACCCUGGGAAGCCUAAAAUAUAAUGUAUAGACUUACUGACAUACCAGGCAACCACCAGACCUAAGACCUAAUUGUUUACAUCAAGGGAUCAUAAUAUCUUAAUAAAAUAUAGAUAUUUUUAGUAAUUAUUUAAAUUAAGUAUUAUAAACUUUGUAAAACAAGCAAACUCUUUGUUACUCAUACACUUAUUUAUGCUUUUUCUUUUCCCUAUCUUUUUUAGGGCUGCACUUGUGGCAUAUGGAAGUUCCCAGGCCAGGGGUUGAAUCAGAGCUGUAGCCGCCAUCCUACACCACAGCCAAAGCAACACCAGAUUCACAUCCUGUUCGUGACCUACACCACAGCUUAACAGCAACACCAGAUCCUUAACCCACUGAGCGAGGCCAAGGAUCGAACUUGCGUCCUCAUGGAUACUAGUCAGAUUUGUUUCCUCUGAGCCAUGACGGGAACUCCUAUUUAUGCUUGAUUGAUAUAACUUCCUUGAAUUUUCAAGAUCUUGGUUAAGCAUAAACCAGUGUGUAUGUCCAUAUAUAUAUGUGCUUGAGGAUAACAAUACUCCUACUUAAAUAAGUGAAAUCCUAAGCAUUUAUCUCAAAACGGCAUUGAGAUCAAGUACACAUUUCAUUAUAACUUGAAUUUUUUCAUUUAGCCGGUUAUAACUUUAAAGUUAAAAAUAACAUGUAAUAUUAGUUUUCAUGUCUUCUCAAAAUGUAUGAGCUAUAGUGAAAAAUUAAACUCUGAGAUGAGGGGAUUUGAAAAGGAAGAGAAAGCACUUUCUUGAAAAGAUUAAUAUUCAUUUAUACAAACCAUCUGAGAUCCCAGCAAUAUUCUCAAAUUACUCUCCACAGAUGCCAGAAGAAAGUGAUAUUAUUUUAAGGACAUUAAAAAAAAUCUUUACUUUUCAUAGUUAGAAUACUCUGAGUUUCUGUUCCCUAGAGAAAUUCAUUGUACUCAGUAGUUUGGUAGCAUUAGAGGCAAUACUAGCCCAGAACAUAAGAGUCACUGAUAUUAAUAAACACUACCUGCUAGGUAUGGUUCUGAGCAGCCUACAUGACUACUGCAUUCUAUCCUCCUGACAACAUUUUGAAGUAGAUAUUAUUUUUGCCCCCAUUUUACAGAUAAGACAAUUUAAGAGGAGCAGGACUUAAACUGGGCUUUUCCAACUUCAUAUUGUUAGUAAAUGAACGAAGUCUUAUUUCAAACCCAUUAAAUAAGAUCAAGAACCCUCUCUGCCAUUUUCCCCAUCUCCCUAUCAUAGGGGCAUCUUAGUUCUUUAAAAUACACUUAUGCUCCAUUUUAUACAAUAGAUACUUUUAAAAUAUUGAAAAAAUCAAAUUUGGAACAAAUUAAUUGUCUUUUUCAUGUGCCAAGAAUGCAGAAUAGUCAAAUAAAGCAACGAUUAAGUCUUUCUGAAAAGGAUGACUUUUUUCUUUAUGAUUUAUGCUUUGAUAUUUCUUGUCAAAAUAUAGACAAUUUAUUUAAAAUAAGACACAUCAAAGGAAAUGAUACAUAUAAUGGACUAGUCGCAUCCAUAAUAACUAGCACUCAGAGCCUUCACUGCUUUAGGAGAAAAUAAAAAGAGUGAAACAUUUAGUGCAUGUUCAUGUCUUGGCUGGAUUUGGGAUGCAACAGAAUAACAAAGCUUUAUUACUGAGGAGAAGAGGUUUGGGGCUACCUCAAAUUUUUUUGUUAAAUAUGUAAAUUUCAAGAUAUUUCAAAUAUUAAAGACUGUGAUUGUUGACUUAUAAAAAUGGGCAAUGAUGACCCAAAUUGUUACCUACUUACAUCCAGGGUUGUUUUUUAAUGUAAAUUUAAAAAAAAUUUAUUGUUAUUUCCCCAAUACAUUUUUUUCCUACUGUACAGCAUGAUGACCCACCCAGUUUUUUAAUAUGAAUUUUAUAAGAACCAUGCAGUUAACAGACUAGCCCUUCCUUGGGAAAUAUCAGUUUUAUCCCAUCAUUUUUCAUUUCACUUUGUUUUUAGGGAGAGGAAAUGGAGCACGAUUUUACUGUUUCCUGACUCUUUGAUAAAUGCUCACAUGCUCCUCCAUUAUUUUGAUGAAGAGACAACUUUUAAAUGUACCUUUAUUUCCACUUUGGUUGCCUUUAUUCUGAAAUGAGAAAAGUCCUAAAAGAUGCUUUAGGACAAUUUUAUGCAAAUUUAGAAUUGAUGGG